GACGAACGCUGGCGGCGUGCUUAACACAUGCAAGUCGAACGGAAAGGCUCCAGCUUGCUGGAGUACUCGAGUGGCGAACGGGUGAGUAACACGUGGGUGAUCUGCCCUGCACUUCGGGAUAAGCCUGGGAAACUGGGUCUAAUACCGGAUAGGACCGCACUCUGGUGUGUGUGGUGGAAAGGAUUUUCUGGUGUGGGAUGAGCUCGCGGCCUAUCAGUUUGUUGGUGGGGUAAUGGCCUACCAAGACGGCGACGGGUAGCCGGCCUGGGAGGGUGGACGGUCACAUUGGGACUGAGAUACGGCCCAGACUCCUACGGGAGGCAGCAGGGGGGAAUAUUGCACAAUGGGGGAAACCCUGAUGCAGCGACGCCGCGUGGGGGAUGAAGGCCUUCGGGUUGUAAACUCCUUUCGCUAGGUACGAAGCUUUUUGUGACGGUACCUGGAGAAGAAGCACCGGCUAACUACGUG
Molecule: ribosomal RNA, 468 nt
Filed under: uncultured bacterium
Lineage: Bacteria
Description: partial 16S ribosomal RNA
Rfam family: Bacterial small subunit ribosomal RNA
Source: RNAcentral